CACGUAGGGGGCGAGCGUUGUCCGGAUUUAUUGGGCGUAAAGAGCUCGUAGGCGGCUCAGUAAGUCGGGUGUGAAAUUUCAGGGCUCAACCCUGAAACGCCACCCGAUACUGCUGUGGCUAGAGUCCGGUAGGGGAGCGUGGAAUUCCUGGUGUAGCGGUGAAAUGCGCAGAUAUCAGGAGGAACACCAGCGGCGAAGGCGGCGCUCUGGGCCGGAACUGACGCUGAGGAGCGAAAGCAUGGGUAGCGAA
RNAcentral lists this ribosomal RNA (250 nucleotides) under uncultured bacterium. RNAcentral describes it as "partial 16S ribosomal RNA". It matches the Rfam family "Bacterial small subunit ribosomal RNA", at positions 524 to 772 of the family's 1533-position model. The record is from RNAcentral.